UACAGGGGGGGCAAGCGUUGUUCGGAAUUAUUGGGCGUAAAGAGCUCGUAGGCGGUCUGCUGCGUCCGCUGUGAAAACUCGGGGCUUAACCCCGAGCCUGCAGUGGAUACGGGCAGACUAGAGGUAGGUAGGGGAGAAUGGAAUUCCCGGUGUAGCGGUGAAAUGCGCAGAUAUCGGGAGGAACAUCAGUGGCGAAGGCGGCUUACUGGACCAACACUGACACUGAGGCACGAAAGCGUGGGUAGCAAACAGG
This 253-nucleotide ribosomal RNA is filed under the name uncultured bacterium. Its description in RNAcentral is "partial 16S ribosomal RNA". It matches the Rfam family "Bacterial small subunit ribosomal RNA", at positions 524 to 776 of the family's 1533-position model. The record is from RNAcentral.